This 74-nucleotide non-coding RNA is filed under the name Clostridiales bacterium NK3B98. RNAcentral's name for it is "rumen bacterium NK3B98 RT-6 RNA". It matches the Rfam family "RT-6 RNA". Rfam says of the family: Firmicutes. The record is from Rfam by way of RNAcentral. Lineage: Bacteria; Bacillati; Bacillota; Clostridia; Eubacteriales.
UGCUUUAUACAUAGGUAUAAAGGAAGAGCAUUGUUGUCAAGCUUUCCAGCAGAAUAUCUUUCAAGAUUUCUCGC